This 404-nucleotide ribosomal RNA is filed under the name uncultured microorganism. Its description in RNAcentral is "bacterial SSU rRNA". It matches the Rfam family "Bacterial small subunit ribosomal RNA", at positions 9 to 416 of the family's 1533-position model. The record is from RNAcentral.
GAGUUUGAUCGUGGCUCAGAUUGAACGCUGGCGGCAUGCCUUACACAUGCAAGUCGAACGGUAACAGGUCUUCGGAUGCUGACGAGUGGCGAACGGGUGAGUAAUACAUCGGAACGUGCCCGAUCGUGGGGGGAUAACGGAGCGAAAGCUUUGCUAAUACCGCAUACGAUCUACGGAUGAAAGCAGGGGACCGCAAGGCCUUGCGCGGACGGAGCGGCCGAUGGCAGAUUAGGUAGUUGGUGGGAUAAAAGCUUACCAAGCCGACGAUCUGUAGCUGGUCUGAGAGGACGACCAGCCACACUGGGACUGAGACACGGCCCAGACUCCUACGGGAGGCAGCAGUGGGGAAUUUUGGACAAUGGGCGAAAGCCUGAUCCAGCAAUGCCGCGUGCAGGAUGAAGGCC